UUUCCGUAGGUGAACCUGCGGAAGGAUCAUUACAGUGUUCCCUGCCCUUCGGGGUAGGCUCGCCACCCUUGAUUAUUUAUGAGUGUUGCUUUGGCGGGCCUCGCGGCCUGGCCGCGCCCCGGCUUCGGCGGGGGAGCGCCCGCCAGAGGAUUCUACAAACCUGAUUAUUAGUGUCGUCUGAGUACUAUAUAAUAGUUAAAACUUUCAGCAACGGAUCUCUUGGUUCUG
Molecule: unclassified non-coding RNA, 228 nt
Filed under: plant metagenome
Description: partial contains small subunit ribosomal RNA, internal transcribed spacer 1, and 5.8S ribosomal RNA
Source: RNAcentral